This 255-nucleotide ribosomal RNA is filed under the name uncultured bacterium. RNAcentral describes it as "partial 16S ribosomal RNA". It matches the Rfam family "Bacterial small subunit ribosomal RNA", at positions 524 to 776 of the family's 1533-position model. The record is from RNAcentral.
UACGAAGGGGGGCUAGCGUUGUUCGGAAUUACUGGGCGUAAAGCGUGCGCAGGCGGCUUCUCAAGUCAGGGGUGAAAGCCCAGAGCUCAACUCUGGAAUUGCCUUUGAGACUGAGUGGCUUGAGUACGAGAGAGGUGAGUGGAAUUCCCAGUGUAGAGGUGAAAUUCGUAGGAUAUUGGGAAGAACACCGGUGGCGAAGGCGGCUCACUGGCUCGUAACUGACGCUCAUGCACGACAGCGUGGGGAUCAAACAGG